This 967-nucleotide ribosomal RNA is filed under the name Drosophila melanogaster (fruit fly). Lineage: Eukaryota; Metazoa; Arthropoda; Insecta; Diptera; Drosophilidae. The record is from RNAcentral.
AAUAACUUAUACAUAUGAAAAUUAAUAUUUAUUAUAUGUAUAAGUGAAAAAUAUUGAAAUAUUCCCAUAUUCUCUAAGUAUUAUAGAGAAUAUAAUUAAUAUAUAAAGAAUUUAAAGAAUUUUAUCAAGAGUAGCCAAACACCUCGUCAUUAACUACUAUAAUAGGUAGGCAGUGGUUGCCGACCUCUCAUAUUGUUCAAAACGUAUGUAUCAUAUGAUUUUGGCAAUUAUAUGAGUAAAUUAAAUCAUAUACAUAUGAAAAAGGCAGUGGUUGCCGACCUCUCAUAUUGUUCAAAACGUAUGUGUUCAUAUGAUUUUGGCAAUUAUAUGAGUAAAUUAAAUCAUAUACAUAUGAAAAAGGCAGUGGUUGCCGACCUCUCAUAUUGUUAAAAACGUAUGUGUUCAUAUGAUUUUGGCAAUUAUAUGAGUAAAUUAAAUCAUAUACAUAUGAAAAUUAAUAUUUAUUAUGUGUAUAAGUGAAAAAUGUUGAAAUAUUCCCAUAUUCUCUAAGUAUUAUAGAGAAAAGCCAUUUUAGUGAAUGGAUAUAGUAGUGUAAGCUAGCUGUUCUACGACAGAGGGUUCAAAAACUACUAUAGGUAGGCAGUGGUUGCCGACCUCUCAUAUUGUUCAAAACGGUAUGUGUUCAUAUGAUUUUGGCAAUUAUAUGAGUAAAUUAAAUCAUAUACAUAUGAAAAUUAAUAUUUAUUAUGUGUAUAAGUGAAAAAUGUUGAAAUAUUCCCAUAUUCUCUAAGUAUUAUAGAGAAAAGCCAUUUUAGUGAAUGGAUAUAGUACUGUAAGCUAGCUGUUCUACGACAGAGGGUUCAAAAACUACUAUAGGUAGGCAGUGGUUGCCGACCUCUCAUAUUGUUCAAAACGUAUGUGUUCAUAUGAUUUUGGCAAUUAUAUGAGUAAAUUAAAUCAUAUACAUAUGAAAAUAAAUAUUUAUUAUAUGUAUAUGGAAAAAUGU